CAAUAGCGUAUAUUAAAGUUGUUGCAGUUAAAAAGCUCGUAGUUGGAUUUCUGGUCGGAAGCUCCUGUCCUCUGAUGAGCGUACAAGUGCGUCCUACCAUCCUUCUGUUAACCUUUAAGGCUUUCGCGGCUUUCUAGGGGCUCAGAUAUUUUACCUUGAGAAAAUUAGAGUGUUUCAGGCAGGCUAGCGCCGGAAUACAUUAGCAUGGAAUAAUGGAAUAGGACUUUUGCCUCUUCUGUUGGUCAUGAGGCUCGAGUAAUGAUUAAUAGGGAUAGUUGGGGGCAUUAGUACUUAACUGUCAGAGGUGAAAUUCUCGGAUCUGUUAAAGACUAACUUAUGCGAAAGCAUUUGCCAAGGAUGUUUUCAUUAA
This 370-nucleotide ribosomal RNA is filed under the name uncultured eukaryote. RNAcentral describes it as "partial 18S ribosomal RNA". It matches the Rfam family "Eukaryotic small subunit ribosomal RNA", at positions 592 to 976 of the family's 1831-position model. The record is from RNAcentral.